UCCGCCAUAGCUCAGUUGGUAGUAGCGCAUGAUUGUUAAUCAUGAUGUCGUAGGUUCGAGUCCUACUGGCGGAG
RNAcentral lists this transfer RNA (74 nucleotides) under Streptococcus pneumoniae. RNAcentral's name for it is "tRNA-Asn(gtt)". It matches the Rfam family "tRNA". From Rfam's summary of the family: Transfer RNA (tRNA) molecules are approximately 80 nucleotides in length. Their secondary structure includes four short double-helical elements and three loops (D, anti-codon, and T loops). The record is from RNAcentral. Lineage: Bacteria; Bacillati; Bacillota; Bacilli; Lactobacillales; Streptococcaceae.